GGUGCCUUCGGGAACUGUGAGACAGGUGCUGCAUGGCUGUCGUCAGCUCGUGUUGUGAAAUGUUGGGUUAAGUCCCGCAACGAGCGCAACCCUUAUCCUUUGUUGCCAGCGGUUAGGCCGGGAACUCAAAGGAGACUGCCAGUGAUAAACUGGAGGAAGGUGGGGAUGACGUCAAGUCAUCAUGGCCCUUACGACCAGGGCUACACACGUGCUACAAUGGCGCAUACAAAGAGAAGCGACCUCGCGAGAGCAAGCGGACCUCAUAAAGUGCGUCGUAGUCCGGAUUGGAGUCUGCAACUCGACUCCAUGAAGUCGGAAUCGCUAGUAAUCGUGGAUCAGAAUGCCACGGUGAAUACGUUCCCGGGCCUUGUACACACCGCCCGUCACACCAUGGGAGUGGGUUGCAAAAGAAGUAGGUAGCUUAACCUUCGGGAGGGCGCUUACCACUUUGUGAUUCAUGACUGGGGUGAAGUCGUAACAAGGUAACCGUAGGGGAACCUGCGGUUGGAUCACCUCCUUA
Molecule: ribosomal RNA, 520 nt
Filed under: Salmonella enterica subsp. enterica serovar Kentucky
Lineage: Bacteria; Pseudomonadati; Pseudomonadota; Gammaproteobacteria; Enterobacterales; Enterobacteriaceae
Also listed under: 1 other name
Description: partial 16S ribosomal RNA
Rfam family: Bacterial small subunit ribosomal RNA
Source: RNAcentral